UUUUUUUUUUUUUUUUGAACAAACUUAUUACUUUUUCUUCUGAAGACGAAGAAGAAGGAUUCAAUUAAUCUGAAGGUUAGGGUUUUGGUGAUUUUGGUUAGAUUCGGAUCGGUUGGGGCUUUGUCUCCUUCGUGGUGAUUAAAUUUGGUUAGGUUUCUUCUUCCUCGGAUUAUCUUUCGAAUCUAACCCAGGAAGCGUGUCUCCCCUUCGUCAAGAUCAUGGGCAGACAUUAAUCUAAUAAUGUUCUGUCAGAUUCUAUUUUGGGGACAUUGUCCCGACCAGAGUUGUGAACUAUGGGAUUGGUAGUGCAUGCAUUGUUGCGAGUUGGAAAAGGGGUUUCGAUUUGUUGGAUGGGAAUGAACCUACGGGUUAAUAAGUCUUAAGACAAAGACAUAAUAGAACCAAAGAGUUCUCACAGAUUGGUACCCUCGGCUUGGAAAAACUAAAAGAGCAAUGAGACAUAAGACAAAGACAAAGAGUCAAGAGACUAUGGAUGGGUUGGUAGUGCAUGCAUUGUUACGAGUUGUUGGCUGGGAAUGAAAAGAAAAGAGAACCUUGAUUAUUGGGUUGGUAGUGCAUGCAUUGUUACGAGUUGUUGGCUGGGAAUGAACCUACGGGCUAGAAACAUAAAAGAACCUAAUAUUGUGGAUAGGAAUGAAAAGAAAAAGGGAUCCUUGAUGAUUGGCUUGGUAGUGCAUGCAUUGUUGCGAGUUGGGAAAGGGUUUUCGAUUUGUUGGCUGGGAAUGAAAAGAAAAGGGAUCCUUGAUUUUUGGCUUGGUAGUGCAUGCAUUGUUGUUGGAUUGGAAAAGUUAAAAGAGCUAUGGCUUAAUGAGACAUAAGACAAAGAAAAAGGGUAAAAAGACUAUGGAUGUGACUUGUUGGAUUGGUAAAACCGACCAGCAAAGAGAAGAAGCUUUAAGAGAAAGUGUCUAAAGAUUGUGGAUGGGAAUGAAAAGAUAAGAGAGCCUUGAUUAUUGGGUUGGUAGUGCAUGCAUUGUUGGGAGCUUUUAGCUGGGAAAGAACCUACGGGUUAGUAACAUAAAAGAACCUAAGACUAUGGCUGGGAAUGUAAAGAAAAGGGAUCCUUGAUUAUUGGGUUGGUAGUGCAUGCAUUGUUGUUAGAUUGGAAAAGUUAAAAGAGCUAUGGCUUAAUGAGACAUAAGUGAAAAGAUAAGAGAGCCUUGAUUAUUGGGUUGGUAGUACAUGCAUUGUUGCGAGAUUUUAGCUGGGAAAGAACCUACGGGUUAGUAACAUAAAAGAACCUAAGACUGUGGCUGGGAAUGUAAAGAAAAGGGAUCCUUGAUUAUUGGCUCGGUAGUGCAUGCAUUGUUGCGAGCUUUUAGCUGGGAAAGAACCUACGGGUUAGUAACAUAAAAGAACCCAAGACUAUGGCUGGGAAUGUAAAGAAAAGGGAUCCUUGAUUAUUGGGUUGGUAGUGCAUGCAUUGUUGUUGGAUUGGAAAAGUUAAAAGAGCUAUGGCUUAAUGAGACAUACGACAAAGGAAAGACUAUGGUAGCGACUUGUUGGAUUGGUAAAACCGACCAGCAGAGAGAAGAAGCCUUAAGAGGAAGUGUCUAAAGAUUGUGGAUGGGAAUGAAAAGAUAAGAGAGCCUUGAUUAUUGGGUUGGUAUGGUAGUGCAUGCAUUGUUGGGAGCUUUUAGCUGGGAAAGAACCUACGGGUUAGUAACAUAAAAGAACCUAAGACUAUGGCUGGGAAUGAAAAGAAAAGGGAUCCUUGAUUAUUGGCUUGGUAGUGCAUGCAUUUUUGCGAGUUGGGAAAGGGUUUCGAAUUGUUGGCUGGGAAUGAACCUACGGGCUAGUACUAGAAAAGAACCUAAGAGUUCUCACAGUUUGGUACCCUCGGCUUGGAAAAAAUAAAAGAGCUACGGCUUAAUGAGACAUAAGACAGACAAAGAGUCGAAAGACUAUGGAUGUGACAUGUUGGAUGGUAAAAACGACCAGCAGAGAAAAGAAUGACUUGUUGGAUUGGUAAAAACGACCAGCAGAGAAAAGAGGCCUGAAGAGAAAGCAGUGAACUUAAAAGACAAAGAGUCGAAAGACUAUGGAUGUGACAUGUUGGAUGGUAAAAACGACCAGCAGAGAAAAAGAAUGACUUGUUGGAUUGGUAAAACACGACCAGCAGAGAUAAGAGGCCUGAAGAGAAGGCAGUGAACUUAAAAGACAAAGAGUCGAAAGACUAUGGAUGUGACAUGUUGGAUGGUAAAAACGACCAGCAGAGAAAAAGAAUGACUUGUUGGAUUGGUAAAACACGACCAGCAGAGAUAAGAGGCCUGAAGAGAAGGCAGUGAACUUAAAAGACAAAGAGUCGAAAGAUUAUGGAUGUGACAUGUUGGAUGGACAAAAACGACCAGCAGAGAAAAGAAGGAGUUGUUGGACUGGUAAAAACGACCAGCAGAGAAAAGAGGCCUGGGAGAGAAAGCAGUGUACUUAAAAAGACAAAGAGUCGAAAAGACUAUGGAUGUGACAUGUUGGAUGGUAAAAACGACCAGCAGAGAAAAGAAUGACUUGUUGGAUUGGUAAAACACGACCAGCAGAGAAAAGAGGCCUGAAUAGAAGGCAGUGAACUUAAAAGACAAAGUGUCGAAAGACUAUGGAUGUGACUUGUUGGAUGGUAAGAACGACCAGCAGAGAAAAGAAUGACUUGUUGGAUUUGGUAAAAACGACCAACAGAGAAAAGAAGCCUUAAGAGAAGACAAUGAAAAGAUUAUAGACGAACGUCUUUGGAAAGUUGUAUGUGCUUCUGGAGAAGUUCAGAUAUUAAGACUUUCAGAAGAUUCAAGUGUUGCAUACUUCUUUGACAGGUUAAUUUUCCCACUGAUGCAAAGGAUCAGGUAUAUGCUUAUCUUGGCUUCUCUUUAAUAAAAUCACAGAUGUACGCACCUUAUAUAAUUAAAAUUGUUUUAUUAUGUUAGCUGUCUUAAUAUCAUUACUAUCCUUGAUCUAUCCAUCUAAUUCUAGAAACUUAUUGCUAAGAUAUCAUUGAUAAAAAAUGGUGAUCUUGGUUUGCGUA
Long non-coding RNA from Capsella rubella, 3031 nucleotides. RefSeq lists it as uncharacterized. NCBI's taxonomy places the organism in Eukaryota, Viridiplantae, Streptophyta, Magnoliopsida, Brassicales, Brassicaceae. The transcript has 6 exons. The record is from RefSeq and is a predicted model, not a curated record.